CUGAGAGCUCUGCAGGGUGAGAGCAGAGCCAACACUGGACAGAGGGGCAGCAAAGUACGCUGCCGGGGAGAGAGAAAACUCUGCAACAUGGUGAUACUAUUAUACUGAUGUUAUAUUUAGCCGAAGAUACAAAUGAUGCUGAAGGAGAGACGCAGAGCACAAAGGAGGACUGGUGAUAUGGAUGUUUCUCCCGGCUUCUGACUCCAUUGUCACUUCCUGAUAGUCUCGAAGAGCACAAGUAUAAUGAUGCACAUAAGUGCCUUGAUCUGUGAUGGAAUGUACA
This is a long non-coding RNA of Pseudophryne corroboree (corroboree frog), 283 nucleotides long. RefSeq lists it as uncharacterized. The transcript is spliced from 4 exons. Lineage: Eukaryota; Metazoa; Chordata; Amphibia; Anura; Myobatrachidae. The record is from RefSeq and is a predicted model, not a curated record.